Molecule: ribosomal RNA, 157 nt
Filed under: uncultured Mycena
Lineage: Eukaryota; Fungi; Basidiomycota; Agaricomycetes; Agaricales; Tricholomataceae
Description: 5.8S ribosomal RNA
Rfam family: 5.8S ribosomal RNA
About the family: 5.8S ribosomal RNA (5.8S rRNA) is a component of the large subunit of the eukaryotic ribosome. It is transcribed by RNA polymerase I as part of the 45S precursor that also contains 18S and 28S rRNA. Functionally, it is thought that 5.8S rRNA may be involved in ribosome translocation.
Source: RNAcentral
CAACAUUCAGCAACGGAUCUCUUGGCUCUCCCAUCGAUGAAGAACGCAGCGAAAUGCGAUAAGUAAUGUGAAUUGCAGAAUUCAGUGAAUCAUCGAAUCUUUGAACGCACCUUGCGCCCUUUGGUAUUCCGAAGGGCAUGCCUGUUUGAGUGUCAUU